UACAGAGGGGGCGAGCGUUGUUCGGAAUUACUGGGCGUAAAGGGCGCGUAGGCGGCCCGCUAAGUCGAACGUGAAAUCCCCAGGCUCAACCUGGGAACUGCGUCCGAUACUGGCAGGCUUGAAUCCGGGAGAGGGAUGUGGAAUUCCAGGUGUAGCGGUGAAAUGCGUAGAUAUCUGGAGGAACACCGGUGGCGAAGGCGGCAUCCUGGACCGGUAUUGACGCUGAGGCGCGAAAGCUAGGGGAGCAAACGGGG
RNAcentral lists this ribosomal RNA (254 nucleotides) under uncultured bacterium. Its description in RNAcentral is "partial 16S ribosomal RNA". It matches the Rfam family "Bacterial small subunit ribosomal RNA", at positions 524 to 777 of the family's 1533-position model. The record is from RNAcentral.